CCUACGGGUGGCAGCAGUGAGGAAUAUUGGUCAAUGGACGCAAGUCUGAACCAGCCAUGCCGCGUGCAGGAAGAAGGCUCUAAGAGUUGUAAACUGCUUUUGUACGGGAGUAAACGCAGAUACGUGUAUCUGUCUGAAAGUAUCGUACGAAUAAGGAUCGGCUAACUCCGUGCCAGCAGCCGCGGUAAUACGGAGGAUUCAAGCGUUAUCCGGAUUUAUUGGGUUUAAAGGGUGCGUAGGCGGUCGGAUAAGUUAGAGGUGAAAUCCCGAGGCUCAACUUCGGAAUUGCCUUUGAUACUGUUAGGCUAGAGAGUAGUUGAGGUAGGCGGAAUGUAUGGUGUAGCGGUGAAAUGCUUAGAGAUCAUGCAGAACACCGAUUGCGAAGGCAGCUUACCAAGCUCCUACUGACGUUGAGGCACGAAAGCGUGGGGAGCAAACAGGAUUAGAUACCCUAGUAGUC
RNAcentral lists this ribosomal RNA (460 nucleotides) under uncultured bacterium. RNAcentral's name for it is "partial 16S ribosomal RNA". It matches the Rfam family "Bacterial small subunit ribosomal RNA", at positions 338 to 795 of the family's 1533-position model. The record is from RNAcentral.